GCGCAGCAGUCGAGAAACCUCCGCAAUGCGGGAAACCGCGACGGGGGGACCCCGAGUGCCGUGGCAACGCCACGGCUUUUCCGGAGUGUAAAAAGCUCCGGGAAUAAGGGCUGGGCAAGGCCGGUGGCAGCCGCCGCGGUAAUACCGGCGGCCCGAGUGGUGGCCGCUAUUAUUGGGCCUAAAGCGUCCGUAGCCGGGCCCGUAAGUCCCUGGCGAAAUCCCACGGCUCAACCGUGGGGCUUGCUGGGGAUACUGCGGGUCUUGGGACCGGGAGGGGCGGGGGUACCCCUGGGGUAGGGGUGAAAUCCUAUAAUCCCAGGGGGACCGCCAGUGGCGAAGGCGCCCCGCUGGAACGGGUCCGACGGUGAGGGACGAAGGCCAGGGGAGC
This 388-nucleotide ribosomal RNA is filed under the name uncultured microorganism. RNAcentral describes it as "bacterial SSU rRNA". It matches the Rfam family "Archaeal small subunit ribosomal RNA", at positions 330 to 720 of the family's 1478-position model. The record is from RNAcentral.